UCCUGUGUGGCUCAGUUGGUAGAGCAUGGUGUUUGCAAUGCCAGAUUUGUAGGUUCAAUUCCCACGGGGG
Molecule: transfer RNA, 70 nt
Filed under: Salmo salar (Atlantic salmon)
Lineage: Eukaryota; Metazoa; Chordata; Actinopteri; Salmoniformes; Salmonidae
Rfam family: tRNA
About the family: Transfer RNA (tRNA) molecules are approximately 80 nucleotides in length. Their secondary structure includes four short double-helical elements and three loops (D, anti-codon, and T loops).
Source: Rfam by way of RNAcentral